RNAcentral lists this ribosomal RNA (486 nucleotides) under uncultured bacterium. RNAcentral describes it as "bacterial SSU rRNA". It matches the Rfam family "Bacterial small subunit ribosomal RNA", at positions 28 to 507 of the family's 1533-position model. The record is from RNAcentral.
GACGAACGCUGGCGGCGUGCUUAAUACAUGCAAGUCGAGCGAGGUUACUGUUUCGGAUCCCUUCGGGGUGAAGAAGCUUUAACCUAGCGGCGGACGGGUGAGUAACGCGUGGGUAACCUACCCCAAAGUCCGGGAUAACAGCGGGAAACCGCUGCUAAUACCGGAUGCCUUUACCUUGGGGCAUCUUGAGGUAAAGAAAGGUAACGCUUUGGGAUGGGCCCGCGUCCCAUUAGCUAGUUGGCGAGGUAACGGCUCACCAAGGCGACGAUGGGUAGCCGGCCUGAGAGGGUGGACGGCCACACUGGGACUGAGACACGGCCCAGACUCCUACGGGAGGCAGCAGUAGGGAAUAUUGCGCAAUGGACGGAAGUCUGACGCAGCGACGCCGCGUGAGCGAUGAAGGUCUUCGGAUCGUAAAGCUCUGUCCUUGGGGAAGAAGGCGAAAGCUUGACGGUACCCAAGAAGAAAGCCCCGGCUAACUACGUG